CUGAUGGAGGUGGGUACACCACCAAGGUGUUGGGUGCAGCCUCACAGUGUUGGGUACAGGCUGACAGAGGUGUGCACACCCUGACAGUGCAGGGUACACCCUGAUGGAGGUGUGCACACCCUCCUGGUGUUGGGUACAAGCUGACAAAGGUGAGUACAGGCUGACAGUGUUGGGUACAGGCUGACAGAGGUGGGUACACCCUCCCAGUGCUGGGUACACCCUGACAGCGUGGGGUACGCCCUCCUGGUGUUGGGUACACCCUGAUGGUGUUGGGUACAGGCUGUGUUGGCUACACCCUGACAGCGCAGGGUACCCCCUCCCGGUGCUGGGAACCCCCUGACAAAGGUGGGUACAGGCUGAUGGAGGUGGGUACACCCUCCUGGUGUUGGGUACAGGCUGACAGUGUGGGGUACACCCUGACAGUGCUGGGUACACCCUGAUGGAGGUGGGUACACCCUGACGGUGUUGGGUACAGGCUGACAGAGGUGUGCACACCCUGACAGUGCAGGGUACACCCUCCUGGUGUUGGGUACACCCUGACAGUGCGGGGUACACCGUCCUGGUGCUGGGUACAACCUGAUGGAGGUGGGUACACCCUGAUGGUGUUGGGUACACCCUGACAAAGGUGGGUACACUCUGAUGGAGAUGGGUACAGCCUCAAGGUGUUGGGUGCAGCCUCACAGUGCUGGGUACACCCUGACAGUGCAGGGUACACCCUGAUGGAGGUGUGCACACCCUCCCGGUGUUGGGUGCAACCUGACGGCAUUGGGUACAGGCUGACGAAGGUGGGUACACCCUGAUGGAGGUGGGUGCACCACCAAGGUGUUGGGUGCAGCCUCACAGUGCUGGGUACAGGCUGACAGGGGUGGGUACACCCUCCUGGUGUUGGGUACAGUCUCACGGUGCUGGGUACACCCUGACAAAGGUGGGUACACCCUGAUGGAGGUGGGUACAGCCUCAAGGUGUUGGGUACAGCCUCACAGUGCUGGGUACACCCUGAUGGAGGUGUGCACACCCUGACAGUGCGGGGUACACCCUCCUGGUGCUGGGUACAACCUGAUGGAGGUGGGUACACUGUCAAGGUGUUGGGUACAGCCUCACAGUGCUGGGUACACCCUCCUGGUGUUGGGUACAAGCUGACAAAGGUGAGUACAGGCUGACGGUGUUGGGUACACCCUCCUGGUGUUGGGUACACCCUGACAGCGCGGGGUACACCGUCCUGGUGCUGGGUACAACCUGAUGGAGGUGGGUACACCCUCCUGGUGUUGGGUACAAGCUGACAAAGGUGAGUACAGGCUGAUGGAGGUGGGUACACCACCAAGGUGUUGGGUGCAGCCUCACAGUGUUGGGUACAGGCUGACAGAGGUGUGCACACCCUGACAGUGCAGGGU
Molecule: long non-coding RNA, 1391 nt
Filed under: Numida meleagris (helmeted guineafowl)
Lineage: Eukaryota; Metazoa; Chordata; Aves; Galliformes; Numididae
Description: lncRNA (ENSNMEG00000002577.1)
Source: RNAcentral